CAGGUGGUGAGGAAGGAGGGGCUUAAAGUAUCUGACAGUUGUUUGUCAAAACUCACAUAAGAUCAUUUAAUCUGAGACUGUAAGCAAAAACACAAUGAUACUCCAUUCAGUUAUUCUGCUAUCUGCUCUAGCAUGUGCUAGUAAUGGAGAUACUAUUACACCAGACAAAACUGAGGAGUUUGCUGCUGAAGGUUCAAAUGCUACAUUAUCCUGCAGUUAUUCAUCUGCUUGGUCUUUACUUUGGUACCGUCAGUAUCCCGGAUCGGCUCCUGAGUUCCUUGUGCUCAUCUCAGACAGUGAGAAAAAAGAUCAGAAGUCUAAUAUAGAUCCCAGAUUCACGGCCAAAGUCACUAAAGACAGUAAAGAAAAGCAUGUGGAUCUGAUCAUCUCCUCUUCUGCUGUAUCAGACUCUGCUCUGUAUUACUGUGCUCUGCAGCCCACAGUGACAGGAAACACAAGAACACUGUACAAAAACCUGACUAUAAAAGAAAGCAACAGUCUUCUGAGAAGAAAUGUGUUUUUUAAAUCUUAA
Non-coding RNA from Puntigrus tetrazona (Sumatra barb), 532 nucleotides. Lineage: Eukaryota; Metazoa; Chordata; Actinopteri; Cypriniformes; Cyprinidae. The record is from the annotation of a RefSeq genome assembly.